CCCCACGAAGCUGGAUUCGCUAGUAAUCGCGCAUCAGCCAUGGCGCGGUGAAUACGUUUCCGGGCCUUGUACACACCGCCCGUCAAGCCAUGAAAGCCGGGGGCGCCUGAAGUCCGUGACCGCGAGGGUCGGCCUAGGGUGAAAACCGGUGAUUGGGGCUAAGUCGUAACAAGGUACC
This 178-nucleotide ribosomal RNA is filed under the name uncultured bacterium. Its description in RNAcentral is "partial 16S ribosomal RNA". It matches the Rfam family "Bacterial small subunit ribosomal RNA", at positions 1316 to 1500 of the family's 1533-position model. The record is from RNAcentral.